RNAcentral lists this ribosomal RNA (287 nucleotides) under Capillaria sp. 34049-D. RNAcentral describes it as "partial small subunit ribosomal RNA". It matches the Rfam family "Eukaryotic small subunit ribosomal RNA", at positions 1018 to 1304 of the family's 1831-position model. Lineage: Eukaryota; Metazoa; Nematoda; Enoplea; Trichinellida; Capillariidae. The record is from RNAcentral. RNAcentral also lists the same sequence under 3 other names.
CCCUAGUUGCGACUUUAAACGAUGCCAACUGGCGGUUCGGCGAAGUCUCUCUGACGACUCGCUGAGCAGCCCCCGGGAAACCAAAGUCUUUCGGUUCCGGGGGAAGUACGGUUGCAAAGCUGAAACUUAAAGGAAUUGACGGAAGGGCACCACCAGGAGUGGAGCAUGCGGCUUAAUUUGACUCAACGCGGGAAAGUUCACCCGUCCCGGACACUGUCAGGAUUGACAGAUCAAGAGCUCUUUCUUGAUUCAGUGGAUAGUGGUGCAUGGCCGUUCUUAGUUGGUGG